This 266-nucleotide unclassified non-coding RNA is filed under the name fungal sp. RNAcentral describes it as "partial internal transcribed spacer region". The stretch from base 1 to 46 matches the Rfam family "Eukaryotic small subunit ribosomal RNA", at positions 1786 to 1831 of the family's 1831-position model. The record is from RNAcentral. Lineage: Eukaryota; Fungi.
AAGUCGUAACAAGGUUUCCGUAGGUGAACCUGCGGAAGGAUCAUUACAAGUAUCCAAACUUUACCUAAUUGUGAACUAGUUGUGAUGAAUGUUGUAGCAGGAGAAGAAGAGUUUUGAUGUUGGGCAGAUGUCUCGUACAUGUGCCCAACAGCAGCACUCUGCUUUUUCUGUGAAAGUUCUCAACAAACUCUUGUUAAACUUAUUUUGUCUGAUAAUGUUAUAUGAUAAAUUUCAUACAACUUGCAGCGAUGGAUCUCUUGGCUCUG